This is a long non-coding RNA of Trifolium pratense (red clover), 697 nucleotides long. RefSeq lists it as uncharacterized. The record is from RefSeq and is a predicted model, not a curated record. The transcript has 2 exons. Lineage: Eukaryota; Viridiplantae; Streptophyta; Magnoliopsida; Fabales; Fabaceae.
GCAACUUUUGCUGUUCUUCUCUUUCAAAGUAAACAACUUUGCUUCCACCGCUAAUAUUCCUUUCCGGCCAUCCCUCGUCACCAUCCGGUCUCCUCUGAUCAUGAAACAACAACCCUUAGACUCUUCUAAUUCUCCUAUACAAAACUCAUCCUUUUGUUUCUCAGAUCUAUUAUAUUGAUUUUUGUCACCGCCACUUUACAGACGUUUCUUCAUGCAUAUAUACCACAACUUGUCCAUUUCUUCUGAUUGAAACCAUGAAAUCAACUUGUCCAUUUCUUCUGUUUUUCACUCAAAAAUCAUGAAAUCUUUAUACACAUAAAUCAAGCUCGUGCUUUUAAUGUCAAACCGCCACAUACAGCGUGACAUGGAGGUUUGUAGCAGUGAGGAUGCGUGGUUGCAUUUUUCUGUGCUAGAUCUAAAAAAUUUGAGCAGGACUCAGGUCUCAUGUAUUGGUGUUGAAGACAAACUAUGUAGAGAGAGAUGCUAAGAAAUUGGAUGAAUACAUCAAUUUCCAAUUUUGCUAGUGAAUAUAUAGUAAGAGAGCAAAAAAUUACCUCAUGGAUUUAGUAUCUUUGUAGAGGAGGACAACACUUUUAAAAAAGUUUCCUUUUUUUUUAUACUCAGUGUACCUGCAAAAUGAUAGUCAAUUUUAGAGCAUGAAGUAUAAUAUGUGAAAAGUGAAAACAAUAGCAUAGCA